UAUAUUAAAUUUAGUAAAGUUGAUAAAUUUUUUAAAAAAAAUUAAUUUUAUUUUGUUAAUUAGCUAAAGAAUAAUAUUUAUAAAUAAUUUUUUGUUUUUAAAUAAAUAGAUAUAUUUAAUAAUUAGAUUUAAUUUAUAAUUAAGGUUAUAAUUAGAUAUUUUUAAUAAUUAGUGGUAAAUUUAGUGCCAGCAACAGCGGUUAAACUAAGGUUAAAAGUUAAUUUAUUUGAUAAUAAUAAUAUAUGUAUAUUAAAUUUUAAUUAUAAAAAUAUAAUUUUUUAUGGUGAAAUAUUAAUAAUAUAAUAUUUGUAAUUUUUAUUAUUAUUUAGUUAAUAAGAUUAUUUAUUAAACUAGGAUUAGAUACCCUAUUAUAAUAAUUAUAUUUUUUAAUAUUUAAAGAUUAAAUGUUAAAUCAUUAAAUUUAUAAGAUUUGGCGGUAUUUUAUUCAAUUUAGGGGAACUUGUUUGUUAAUUGAUAAUCCACGAUAAGAUAUACUUAAUUUAAUAUUUGUGUAUUGCUGUUUAUAGAUUUAUAUUAAGUAUAUUUUAAAAUUUAUAAUUAUAAAAAAAUUCAAGUCAAAAUAUAGUAUAAUUAAGAUAUAAUGAGUUACAAUAAAUUAAAUUUAUAUGGAUUUUAAGAUUUAAUUUUUAAAUGAAAGUGGAUUUAACAGUAAAUUUAAUAAAUUAAUUAAGUUGAAAUUUGUUUUAAAAUAUGUACAAAUUGCCCGUCACUUUCAAUGAAAUGAAAUAAGUCGUAACAAAGUUUAGGUACCGGAAGGUGUUUAUUGA
RNAcentral lists this non-coding RNA (788 nucleotides) under Orancistrocerus aterrimus. The record is from RNAcentral. Lineage: Eukaryota; Metazoa; Arthropoda; Insecta; Hymenoptera; Vespidae.